This 252-nucleotide ribosomal RNA is filed under the name uncultured prokaryote. RNAcentral's name for it is "partial 16S ribosomal RNA". It matches the Rfam family "Bacterial small subunit ribosomal RNA", at positions 524 to 776 of the family's 1533-position model. The record is from RNAcentral.
UACGUAGGGGGCGAGCGUUAUCCGGAUUUAUUGGGCGUAAAGCGUGUGUAGGCGGUUUGUUAAGUUUAAGAUUAAAGCCCGAGGCUCAACCUCGGUUCGUCUUAAAAACUGGCAGACUUGAGUGCAGUAGAGGCAAGUGGAAUUUCUAGUGUAGCGGUUAAAUGCGUAGAUAUUAGAAGGAACACCAGUGGCGAAGGCGGCUUGCUGGGCUGUUACUGACGCUGAGACACGAAAGCGUGGGGAGCAAAUAGG